RNAcentral lists this ribosomal RNA (261 nucleotides) under uncultured bacterium. RNAcentral describes it as "partial 16S ribosomal RNA". It matches the Rfam family "Bacterial small subunit ribosomal RNA", at positions 524 to 776 of the family's 1533-position model. The record is from RNAcentral.
GACAGAGGGGUGCAAACGUUGUUCGGAAUUACUGGCGUAAAGGCGUGUGUAGGCGGCUACGCAAGUCGGAUGUGAAAGCCCCGGGCCGUCAAACCCGGGAAGUGCACCCUGAAACUGCGUGGCUCGAGUACCGGAGAGGUUGGUGGAAUUCUACGGUGUAGAGGUGAAAUUCGUAGAUAUCGAGAGGAACACCGGUGGCGAAGGCGGCCAACUGGACGAGUACUGACGCUGAGAACGCGGAAAGCGUGGGGAGCAAACAGG